Molecule: ribosomal RNA, 253 nt
Filed under: uncultured bacterium
Lineage: Bacteria
Description: partial 16S ribosomal RNA
Rfam family: Bacterial small subunit ribosomal RNA
Source: RNAcentral
UACGGAGGGUGCAAGCGUUAUCCGGAUUUACUGGGUUUAAAGGGUGCGUAGGUGGGUCUGUAAGUCAGUGGUGAAAUCUCCGAGCUUAACUCGGAAACUGCCAUUGAUACUAUAGGUCUUGAAUUAUCUGGAGGUAAGCGGAAUAUGUCAUGUAGCGGUGAAAUGCUUAGAUAUGACAUAGAACACCGAUAGCGAAGGCAGCUCACUAGGUCUGGAUUGACGCUCAGGGACGAAAGCGUGGGGAGCAAACAGG